Molecule: ribosomal RNA, 253 nt
Filed under: uncultured bacterium
Lineage: Bacteria
Description: partial 16S ribosomal RNA
Rfam family: Bacterial small subunit ribosomal RNA
Source: RNAcentral
UACGUAGGAUGCAAGCGUUGUCCGGAAUUAUUGGGCGUAAAGAGUUCGUAGGCGGUUGCCUAAGUCUGUUGUUAAAGGCCUGAGCUCAACUCGGGUAUGGCAAUGGAUACUGGGCAGCUAGAGUACGGUAGAGGGGGAUGGAAUUCCGCGUGUAGCAGUGAAAUGCGUAGAUAUGCGGAGGAACACCGAUGGCGAAGGCAAUCCCCUGGACCUGUACUGACGCUCAUGCACGAAAGCGUGGGGAGCAAACAGG